UUGACGGAAUCUGCCUGAACCGGGUGUGU
Molecule: non-coding RNA, 29 nt
Filed under: Homo sapiens (human)
Lineage: Eukaryota; Metazoa; Chordata; Mammalia; Primates; Hominidae
Source: RNAcentral